AAAUAAAAUUAAUAAAGAUUACCCAAAAACUGCUUCGAAAUUGACAAAAGAAUAGCAGGUAAAAUAGAUUUGAUAUUAAAGGGUAUUUGUGCACAAAAUGAAAAAUCCUUUGUUCCUUUCAAACAUAACACCCAGGUCUUUCAAGCCGAAUAGAAAUAUAAUAGAGACAGCUCAAAUCCCAAUAAUACAAUCUAGAAGACUCGUCCCAUGCCAAAAGAUUCCUCAGAACUAGAGCAGCAGCGGUGGAGGAGGAAGGGAGGCAGUGAAAAGUGGAGGAAAGAGAUUUUAGGCAAGGCACAAGUAGAUGUUUUCAAGCAAAGCUGUAUACUUUGUCAAUGGACAGACAAAAUGCAAAGUCUUCAAGUAAAAUAUGCCAACCCGGCCAAACUUGUAAAUCAACCCAAAAUUUGGAUUAUGUUGAGUUUGG
RNAcentral lists this unclassified non-coding RNA (427 nucleotides) under Hevea brasiliensis (rubber tree). The record is from RNAcentral. Lineage: Eukaryota; Viridiplantae; Streptophyta; Magnoliopsida; Malpighiales; Euphorbiaceae.